This 274-nucleotide ribosomal RNA is filed under the name uncultured bacterium. RNAcentral describes it as "partial 16S ribosomal RNA". It matches the Rfam family "Bacterial small subunit ribosomal RNA", at positions 523 to 796 of the family's 1533-position model. The record is from RNAcentral.
AUACGGAGGGAGCGAGCGUUAAUCGGAAUUACUGGGCGUAAAGCGCGCGUAGGCGGCUUUGUAAGUCGGAUGCGAAAGCCCUGGGCUCAACCUGGGAAUGGCAUUCGAUACUGCAGAGCUAGAGUAUGGUAGAGGGAAGUGGAAUUUCCGGUGUAGCGGUGAAAUGCGUAGAUAUCGGAAGGAAUACCGGUGGCGAAGGCGGCCUCCUGGACCAAUACUGACGCUGAGGUGCGAAAGCGUGGGGAGCAAACAGGAUUAGAAACCCCAGUAGUCC